This 840-nucleotide long non-coding RNA is filed under the name Scleropages formosus (Asian bonytongue). RNAcentral's name for it is "lncRNA (ENSSFOG00015029918.1)". Lineage: Eukaryota; Metazoa; Chordata; Actinopteri; Osteoglossiformes; Osteoglossidae. The record is from RNAcentral.
GGCGGCAGCUGUUCGUGAGGAAAUACCCCAUUAUGCACAGCUGUUGCAGAAUGAGGCUUUAAUAGAUUUUUGCCUUCAUAGAAAAGCUCUCGGUGCCCAGCUGGAAGGGAGCAGCAGCUGACGUGGAGGAGCUCAUGACUAUCAAAGACUUUUUAAGAAAAUAAAUUGGCGGGGAACUUGUAGGAGAGUCGGAUUAAGGGCGAAGAGGAGCUUAUUAUUAUUAUUAUUGUUAUUAUUAUUAUUUUCUUGGAAGGAGCUUUGUGGUCUUAGUUAUUUGCUGAUGAGCACAGUUGGCUGUGGCGCUUCCCUCCCGGCGCAUGUCACCGCUGGGAGGUUUGGAGCGGAAAGAGGGGCACGGAAAACUGAAAGGAAGCGAGUGACUGAUGCUGAGCCUUUGUCUCUUCUGGAGGAGUGGGAGAAAAGGCCAAAACUGCUUUGAGAUUGUCAGUAUUUGGCACAACGCAGCGCUUCGAGUCAGAUGGGGCAUCAACCGUGACAUACGCAGCAGCGGCUCUUCAAAACAGAACCGAACUGAAGCGAACCUCGCUCGUUCCAGCGUUUUCCCUCGGCACGUUCUCCCUUCCGCAGCGAUCAGUGGAAAACGUGAACAACUUACAAGGACAGGCCGGCACACUCGCGCUGCGAUCUCGUUCCGUCUUUGCAUUCGUACCUCUGCCUGUUCAACUUCAAACCCGGAUGCUGCUUCUACAAGGGCAAGUGCUGCCCGAGUGCCCCGCGCACGCGGCCAGGUGAAUGAAGAGCGCAUCCCAGAAGUGAACGGCCCCUACCUCGAGAUGCCGCCUUCUUCCAGUGCCACAAGGUUGCCUGGCUAGUUUCUCC